This 408-nucleotide ribosomal RNA is filed under the name uncultured bacterium. RNAcentral's name for it is "bacterial SSU rRNA". It matches the Rfam family "Bacterial small subunit ribosomal RNA", at positions 29 to 416 of the family's 1533-position model. The record is from RNAcentral.
AACGAACGCUGGCGGCGUGCCUAACACAUGCAAGUCGUGCGAGAAAGUCCCUUCGGGAGCGAGUAAAGCGGCGCACGGGUGAGUAACACGUAGGUAACCUGCCCCCCAGUCUGGAACAACUAGAGGAAACUCUAGCUAAUGCCGGAUGAGACCACGAUCCCUUCGGGGGUUGCGGCCAAAAGAUGGCCUCUACUUGUAAGCUAUCGCUGAGGGAUGGGCCUGCGGGCCAUUAGCUUGUUGGUGAGGUAACGGCUCACCAAGGCUGUGACGAUCUGUAGCUGGUCUGAGAGGAUGACCAGCCACACUGGGACUGAGACACGGCCCAGACUCCUACGGGAGGCAGCAGUGGGGAAUAUUGCGCAAUGGGCGAAAGCCUGACGCAGCGACGCCGCGUGGGUGAUGAAGGCC